UGCAUCGAUGAAGAACGCAGCCAGGUGCGAUAAGUAGUGUGAAUUGCAGAAUUCAGUGAAUCAUCGAAUCUUUGAACGCAAAUGGCGCUCUUGGGUUUUCCCAGGAGCAUGUCUGUCUGAGUGUCG
This 126-nucleotide ribosomal RNA is filed under the name Nematostella vectensis (starlet sea anemone). Its description in RNAcentral is "5.8S ribosomal RNA". It matches the Rfam family "5.8S ribosomal RNA", at positions 29 to 154 of the family's 154-position model. Rfam says of the family: 5.8S ribosomal RNA (5.8S rRNA) is a component of the large subunit of the eukaryotic ribosome. It is transcribed by RNA polymerase I as part of the 45S precursor that also contains 18S and 28S rRNA. Functionally, it is thought that 5.8S rRNA may be involved in ribosome translocation. The record is from Rfam by way of RNAcentral. Lineage: Eukaryota; Metazoa; Cnidaria; Anthozoa; Actiniaria; Edwardsiidae.